AUGCCAGGUCUCGGUGAUGUUGUGGUUGUGGUGGGUCCUCCAGUGGUGGUGCUGACCUCCAGGGGUGCUGUGGUGGUGGUGCUGUCCACCGGAUCUCCUGCUGGUGCUGCCGGCGUCCGCGUCGCUGAGCUGCUGCUGCUGGCGUCGACUAUGACAUGCUGCCCCUGCCUUCUUCGACUGGGACCUCUCCUACAGCACUGUGUCCCCACCGGCAUGCCACAGAAGGUUCGUUUUUGGAUCAAGUCGGUGCUUUUGGAGAAUGAGAUGGUUGUGAGGACUAAAAGGAACAAGGGCUUGACAUGCCUUGCUCGCCUACUGUCUAUGCGGCUCAUCGCCUCUGGCUGCUUGGGGGUCCAAGUUCUCGCAGCUGCUGCUGCUGCUGCUUUGGCUGUGGCCUAUAUAAUGUUUUGGUCCUGGUAA
RNAcentral lists this ribosomal RNA (420 nucleotides) under Triticum aestivum (bread wheat). RNAcentral's name for it is "partial small subunit ribosomal RNA". The record is from RNAcentral. Lineage: Eukaryota; Viridiplantae; Streptophyta; Magnoliopsida; Poales; Poaceae.